Non-coding RNA from Macaca mulatta (Rhesus monkey), 1147 nucleotides. NCBI's taxonomy places the organism in Eukaryota, Metazoa, Chordata, Mammalia, Primates, Cercopithecidae. The record is from RefSeq and is a predicted model, not a curated record.
GGUUUUUAGAGAAGCCAGAGUCGCCGCGGUCCCGGUUCUAAAGUCCUCGCUCACCCACUCGGACUCAGAUUCUCCCCAGACGCCACGGAUGGUGGUCAUGGCGCCCCGAACCCUCCUCCUGCUGCUCUCGGGGGCUCUGGCCCUGACAGAGACCUGGGCGGGCUCCCACUCCAUGAGGUACUUCAGCGCUGCCGUGUCCCGGCCCGGCCGCGGGGAGCCCCGCUUCAUCCCCGUGGGCUACGUGGACAACACGCAGUUCGUGCGGCUCGAUAGCGACGCUGCAAGUCCGAGGAUGGAGCCGCGGGCGCCGUGGGUGGAGCAGGAGGGGCCGGAGUAUUGGGAAGAGGAGACACGGAACAUCAAGGCCCACGCACACACUGACAGAGUGAACCUGCGGACCCUGCGCAGCUGCUACAACCAGAGCCAGGCCGGGUCUCACACCCUCCAGUGGAUGAUUGGUUGCGACCUGGGGCCCCACGGGCGCCUCCUCCGCAGGUGUGAACAGUUCGCCUAAGAUGGCAAGGAUUACCUCGCCCUGAACGAGGACCUGUGCUCCUGAACCGCAGCGGACACUGUGGCUCAGAUCUCCAAGCACAAGUGUGAGGCGGCCAAAGCCACUGAACGAAGGAGAGCCUACCUGGAGGGCACGUGAGUGGAGUGGCUCCACAGAUACCUGGAGAAUGGGAAGGAGAUGCUGCAGCGUGCGGACCACCCCAAUUCACAUGUGACCCACCAUCCUGUCUUUGACUAUGAGGCCACCCUGAGGUGCUGAGCCCUGGGCUUCUACCCUGCGGAGAUCAGACUGACCUGGCAGCGGGAGAGUGAGGACCAGACCCACGACGUGGAGCUCGUGGGAACCAGGCCUGCAGGGGAUGGAACCUUCCAGAAGUGGGCAGCUGUGGUGGUGCCUUCUGGAGAGGAGCAGAGAUUCACGUGCUAUGUGCAGCACCAGGGGCUGCCUGAGCCCCUCAUGCUCAGAUGGAGUAAGGAGGGAGAUGGAGCUGUUGUCACUGAAGCUGUGGUCACUUUUGUGCUGUGGAGGAAGAAGAGCUCAGAUAGAAAAGGAGGGAGCUACUCUCAGGCUGGAAGCAGUGACAGUGUCCAGGGCUCUGAUGUCUCUCACGGCUUGUAAAUGUGAGACCCUGGG